Molecule: ribosomal RNA, 429 nt
Filed under: Acidobacteriota bacterium
Lineage: Bacteria; Pseudomonadati; Acidobacteriota
Description: Acidobacteria bacterium partial 16S ribosomal RNA
Rfam family: Bacterial small subunit ribosomal RNA
Source: RNAcentral
UGGGGAAUCUUCCGCAAUGGACGAAAGUCUGACGGAGCAACGCCGCGUGAGUGAUGAAGGAUUUCGGUCUGUAAAGCUCUGUUGUUUAUGAUGAACGUGCAGUGUGUGAACAAUGCAUUGCAAUGACGGUAGUAAACGAGGAAGCCACGGCUAACUACGUGCCAGCAGCCGCGGUAAUACGUAGGUGGCGAGCGUUGUCCGGAAUUAUUGGGCGUAAAGAGCAUGUAGGCGGCUUAAUAAGUCGAGCGUGAAAAUGCGGGGCUCAACCCCGUAUGGCGCUGGAAACUGUUAGGCUUGAGUGCAGGAGAGGAAAGGGGAAUUCCCAGUGUAGCGGUGAAAUGCGUAGAUAUUGGGAGGAACACCAGUGGCGAAGGCGCCUUUCUGGACUGUGUCUGACGCUGAGAUGCGAAAGCCAGGGUAGCGAACGGG